GGGCUCGUGGUCUAGUUGGUUAUGACGUCGCCUUGACACGGCGGAGGUCUUGAGUUCGAAUCUCAACGAGCCCA
Molecule: transfer RNA, 74 nt
Filed under: Thermoplasmatales archaeon
Lineage: Archaea; Methanobacteriati; Thermoplasmatota; Thermoplasmata; Thermoplasmatales
Also listed under: 1 other name
Description: tRNA-Val
Rfam family: tRNA
About the family: Transfer RNA (tRNA) molecules are approximately 80 nucleotides in length. Their secondary structure includes four short double-helical elements and three loops (D, anti-codon, and T loops).
Source: RNAcentral